CACUUUAAACAUUACUAAAAGCUACUAAAUCUACAGCGUAGAUCCAAAACGACUCUUCGGAUCUACGAGUCGGCUCUGUUCGAUCUUCAUAAUCAGUUGAAUCAAAGAACCGAAGCAAAGAGCCGAUUCCUUUCUAAACGCGUGUACCUUGUCAGAGAAACUCGGAUUGGAUGAAUGUGGUAUUACUUUUAUUUUUCAGAGUGUCAAUUUAAAAGGUAGCUUUUGUUUUUUGUUUAUAUUAGAUAAUUAUCGGGCUAUAUAAACACCAAAUACAUGUUAUUGUUAGCAAAGAUCUGCAAGUCGACUCUCCGUUCAUGUCACACAGCAGACUGAUGGAACCGACUCUGAUGAACGACACAUCACAUACUUUACCUCAGGCUCUGUUUGUGCUUACAUCUUGAUCUUGGUGUAGAGCUGACUGAUUUGCUCUUUGAAGUGGUUCCUCAGUUCUGUUCUCUUGGCCUUCAGGGUGGGAGUGAGGAGGCCGUUCUGCACGGAGAACAGCUCAGUGCUCAGGGCGAUGUCUCUCACCUGUACACACACAGGAGAAAGAAAUUGGGGAAGUCAGUCUGUCACCAGAGAUGACCACCACAACCAUCAGCUGACCUGCUCAAACGAUUUCAGACCGCCUUCUUUCCCCAACCGCACCAUGUCCUCAAGAAUGGCAUUUUUCACUUCCUGUUAAAACAGGCCAAAAUGAGGAAGUCUCACUUAGCUCGAGGUAGGAGCCCACAAGUCCUCUCUUCUUUGCCCAUCCUGGGAGGAUGUCAGGGUCUGGACCUGUAGACUGUCUCCGUGAACAAAGGUUUGAGCCACAGGGUCACUAUGGAUAUAGAUGUUCUCAAUCUUCUCUGGAGCAACGUACUCGCCCUGAGCCAGCUUAAAGAUGUGCUUCUUCCUGUCUAUUAUCUUCAGAGUGCCAUUCUGUGACAUGAAGAUACCAUUAAAGAUCCUGCAAAUGUGA
Molecule: long non-coding RNA, 964 nt
Organism: Tachysurus fulvidraco (yellow catfish)
Lineage: Eukaryota; Metazoa; Chordata; Actinopteri; Siluriformes; Bagridae
Exons: 6
Source: RefSeq, a predicted model, not a curated record